RNAcentral lists this ribosomal RNA (1481 nucleotides) under Escherichia coli. Its description in RNAcentral is "partial 23S ribosomal RNA". It matches the Rfam family "Bacterial large subunit ribosomal RNA", at positions 419 to 1885 of the family's 2925-position model. The record is from RNAcentral. Lineage: Bacteria; Pseudomonadati; Pseudomonadota; Gammaproteobacteria; Enterobacterales; Enterobacteriaceae.
GGGACACGUGGUAUCCUGUCUGAAUAUGGGGGGACCAUCCUCCAAGGCUAAAUACUCCUGACUGACCGAUAGUGAACCAGUACCGUGAGGGAAAGGCGAAAAGAACCCCGGCGAGGGGAGUGAAAAAGAACCUGAAACCGUGUACGUACAAGCAGUGGGAGCACGCUUAGGCGUGUGACUGCGUACCUUUUGUAUAAUGGGUCAGCGACUUAUAUUCUGUAGCAAGGUUAACCGAAUAGGGGAGCCGAAGGGAAACCGAGUCUUAACUGGGCGUUAAGUUGCAGGGUAUAGACCCGAAACCCGGUGAUCUAGCCAUGGGCAGGUUGAAGGUUGGGUAACACUAACUGGAGGACCGAACCGACUAAUGUUGAAAAAUUAGCGGAUGACUUGUGGCUGGGGGUGAAAGGCCAAUCAAACCGGGAGAUAGCUGGUUCUCCCCGAAAGCUAUUUAGGUAGCGCCUCGUGAAUUCAUCUCCGGGGGUAGAGCACUGUUUCGGCAAGGGGGUCAUCCCGACUUACCAACCCGAUGCAAACUGCGAAUACCGGAGAAUGUUAUCACGGGAGACACACGGCGGGUGCUAACGUCCGUCGUGAAGAGGGAAACAACCCAGACCGCCAGCUAAGGUCCCAAAGUCAUGGUUAAGUGGGAAACGAUGUGGGAAGGCCCAGACAGCCAGGAUGUUGGCUUAGAAGCAGCCAUCAUUUAAAGAAAGCGUAAUAGCUCACUGGUCGAGUCGGCCUGCGCGGAAGAUGUAACGGGGCUAAACCAUGCACCGAAGCUGCGGCAGCGACGCUUAUGCGUUGUUGGGUAGGGGAGCGUUCUGUAAGCCUGCGAAGGUGUGCUGUGAGGCAUGCUGGAGGUAUCAGAAGUGCGAAUGCUGACAUAAGUAACGAUAAAGCGGGUGAAAAGCCCGCUCGCCGGAAGACCAAGGGUUCCUGUCCAACGUUAAUCGGGGCAGGGUGAGUCGACCCCUAAGGCGAGGCCGAAAGGCGUAGUCGAUGGGAAACAGGUUAAUAUUCCUGUACUUGGUGUUACUGCGAAGGGGGGACGGAGAAGGCUAUGUUGGCCGGGCGACGGUUGUCCCGGUUUAAGCGUGUAGGCUGGUUUUCCAGGCAAAUCCGGAAAAUCAAGGCUGAGGCGUGAUGACGAGGCACUACGGUGCUGAAGCAACAAAUGCCCUGCUUCCAGGAAAAGCCUCUAAGCAUCAGGUAACAUCAAAUCGUACCCCAAACCGACACAGGUGGUCAGGUAGAGAAUACCAAGGCGCUUGAGAGAACUCGGGUGAAGGAACUAGGCAAAAUGGUGCCGUAACUUCGGGAGAAGGCACGCUGAUAUGUAGGUGAAGUCCCUCGCGGAUGGAGCUGAAAUCAGUCGAAGAUACCAGCUGGCUGCAACUGUUUAUUAAAAACACAGCACUGUGCAAACACGAAAGUGGACGUAUACGGUGUGACGCCUGCCCGGUGCCGGAAGGUUAAUUGAU